RNAcentral lists this ribosomal RNA (484 nucleotides) under uncultured bacterium. RNAcentral describes it as "partial 16S ribosomal RNA". It matches the Rfam family "Bacterial small subunit ribosomal RNA", at positions 30 to 507 of the family's 1533-position model. The record is from RNAcentral.
AUUGAACGCUGGCGGCAGGCCUAACACAUGCAAGUCGAGCGGAUGCAUGGAGCUUGCUCCUGGAUUCAGCGGCGGACGGGUGAGUAAUGCCUAGGAAUCUGCCUGGUAGUGGGGGAUAACGUCCGGAUACGGGCGCUAAUACCGCAUACGUCCUGAGGGAGACAGUGGGGGAUCUUCGGACCUCACGCUAUCAGAUGAGCCUAGGUCGGAUUACCUAGUUUGUGGGGUAAAGGCCUACCAAGGCGACGCUCCGUAACUGGUCUGAGAGGAUGAUCAGUCACACUGGAACAGAGACACAGUCCAGACUCCUACGGUGAGCAGCAGUGGGGAAUAUUGGACAAUGGGCGAAAGCCUGAUCCAGCCAUGCCGCGUGUGUGAAGAAGGUCUUCGGAUUGUAAAGCACUUUAAGUUGGGAGGAAGGGCAGUAAGUUAAUCCCUGGCUGUUUUGACGUUACCAACAGAAUAAGCACCGGCUAACUUCGUG